CCUACGGGUGGCAGCAGUGAGGAAUAUUGGUCAAUGGACGAGAGUCUGAACCAGCCAAGUAGCGUGAAGGAUGACUGCCCUAUGGGUUGUAAACUUCUUUUAUAUGGGAAUAAAAUGUUCCACGUGUGGGAUUUUGUAUGUACCAUAUGAAUAAGGAUCGGCUAACUCCGUGCCAGCAGCCGCGGUAAUACGGAGGAUCCGUGCGUUAUCCGGGUUUAUUGGGUUUAAAGGGAGCGUAGGUGGAUUGUUAAGUCAGUUGUGAAAGUUUGCGGGUCAACCGUAAAAUUGCAGUUGAAACUGGCAGUCUUGAGUACAGUAGAGGUGGGCGGAAUUCGUGGUGUAGCGGUGAAAUGCUUAGAUAUCACGAAGAACUCCGAUGGCGAAGGCAGUUCACUGGACUGCAACUGACACUGAGGCUCGAAAGUGUGGGUAUCAAACAGGAUUAGAUACCCCAGUAGUC
This 460-nucleotide ribosomal RNA is filed under the name uncultured bacterium. RNAcentral describes it as "partial 16S ribosomal RNA". It matches the Rfam family "Bacterial small subunit ribosomal RNA", at positions 338 to 795 of the family's 1533-position model. The record is from RNAcentral.